CUGCUAUCGGGGUUCGAUUAAGCCAUGCGAGUCGAGAGGUGCAAGACCUCGGCGCACUGCUCAGUAACACGUGGACAACCUACCCUGAGGAGAGGGAUAACCCCGGAAAACUGGGGAUAAUACCUCAUAGACCAGGGAUGCUGGAAUGCUUCCUGGUCCAAAGGUCCGCCGCCUCAGGAUGGAUCUGCGGCCGAUUAGGUUGUUGUUGGGGUAACGGCCCAACAAGCCUUUGAUCGGUACGGGUUGUGGGAGCAAGAGCCCGGAGAUGGAUUCUGAGACACGAAUCCAGGCCCUACGGGGCGCAGCAGGCGCGAAAACUUUACAAUGCGAGAAAUCGUGAUAAGGGAACCCCGAGUGCCCGUAAAUCCGGGCUGUCCAUCAGUGUAAAUAACUGGUGAAGAAAGGGCCGGGCAAGACCGGUGCCAGCCGCCGCGGUAAUACCGGCGGCUCGAGUGGUGGCCGCUAUUACUGGGCUUAAAGCGUUCGUAGCUGGGCUGUUAAG
Molecule: ribosomal RNA, 502 nt
Filed under: uncultured archaeon
Lineage: Archaea
Description: bacterial SSU rRNA
Rfam family: Archaeal small subunit ribosomal RNA
Source: RNAcentral